AUGCAGCGCGGCAUGGACGCGUCGAUCUCGGCGCUGUGCGGCUCCCUCUCCGAGGUGCUCACCGACGCCGACGACUCCUCCCGCGCGCUCUCCGACGCCCUCUCCCGCCGCGCCAUCCCCCUCGAGGUGGAGGACGAGGUGGAGGAAGGUGCAGACUUGGGGGACCUUGAUGUCCCCGGGAAUGGGCUCUUGGGAGGGUCAAGCUCGGUCCUCAGGUCUGCCCGGAAGCACUUCGACGACGAUGAACUUGUUGAUGAUGACCAAAAGAUCUUGGAGGAAGCUGAAGAACCCACACCUCCCCAAAUUGAAACCUAUGAGCAAGAUGACAAUGCUUUCCAAGGAAUGAUAAGGGCGUCGAAGGAGGAGUACGAUAAACUUCCUCCUUACAUGAAGACUCUUGCAUCAUGGGAGGAAUUGCAUGACGCCGUUUCAAAACUAAAUGCAUACUUUGGUGGUGAUAAGGCUCAGGGAAGUUUAAAUCAGGAUGAUGUUGCAUCAAUCGGCUUGGGGCGCAAAGGAAGAUCCUACUUGUUGAUCCUUAUGCGGUUGAAUCAACUGGCUAUGGAGACGAUUGAUGGCUCAAUCUUCUACAACCUACGCAAGAACGACUCCUAG
Molecule: ribosomal RNA, 615 nt
Filed under: Triticum aestivum (bread wheat)
Lineage: Eukaryota; Viridiplantae; Streptophyta; Magnoliopsida; Poales; Poaceae
Description: partial small subunit ribosomal RNA
Source: RNAcentral